Molecule: ribosomal RNA, 190 nt
Filed under: Glaesserella parasuis
Lineage: Bacteria; Pseudomonadati; Pseudomonadota; Gammaproteobacteria; Pasteurellales; Pasteurellaceae
Description: partial 16S ribosomal RNA
Rfam family: Bacterial small subunit ribosomal RNA
Source: RNAcentral
UUAAAUUGAAGAGUUUGAUCAUGGCUCAGAUUGAACGCUGGCGGCAGGCUUAACACAUGCAAGUCGAACGGUAGCAGGAAGAAGCUUGCUUCUUUGCUGACGAGUGGCGGACGGGUGAGUAAUGCUUGGGGAUCUGGCUUAUGGAGGGGGAUAACGACGGGAAACUGUCGCUAAUACCGCGUAAUGUCUA